CAGCCGCCGCGGUAAUUCCGGCGGCCCGAGUGGCGGUCACUAUUAUUGGGCUUAAAGCGUCCGUAGCCGGGUUGGGAAGUCCUCCGGGAAAUCUGGCCGCUUAACGGUCAGAAUGCCGGAGGAUACUCCCAGCCUAGGGAGCGGGAGAGGCCGAGGGUAUUCCCGGAGUAGGGGUGAAAUCCUAUAAUCCCGGGAGGACCACCGGUGGCGAAGGCGCUCGGCUGGAACGCGUCCGACGGUGAGGGACGAAGGCCAGGGGAGCAAACCGGAUUAGAUACCCGGGUAGUCCUGGCUGUAAACGAUGCGGACUUUGUGUCGGACAAGCUAUGAGCUUGUCCGGUGCCGGAGGGAAACCGUUAAGUCCGCCGCCUGGGGAGUACGGCCGCAAGGCUGAAACUUAAAGGAAUUGGCGGG
This 414-nucleotide ribosomal RNA is filed under the name uncultured microorganism. RNAcentral describes it as "bacterial SSU rRNA". It matches the Rfam family "Archaeal small subunit ribosomal RNA", at positions 459 to 872 of the family's 1478-position model. The record is from RNAcentral.